Long non-coding RNA from Dreissena polymorpha, 1857 nucleotides. RefSeq lists it as uncharacterized. NCBI's taxonomy places the organism in Eukaryota, Metazoa, Mollusca, Bivalvia, Myida, Dreissenidae. The transcript is spliced from 6 exons. The record is from RefSeq and is a predicted model, not a curated record.
AGACUGCACAUACAUUAAGUCCUAUUAAAGUGUCAUCCUUGAUUAGCCUGUGCAGACUGCGCAUACAUUAAGUCCUAUUAAAUUGUCAUCCCAGAUUAGCCUGUGCAGACUGCACAUACAUUAAGUCCUAUUAAAGUGUCAUCCUUGAUUAGCCUGUGCAGACUGCCCAUACAUUAAGUCCUAUUAAAUUGUCAUCCCAGAUUAGCCUGUGCAGACUGCACAUACAUUAAGUCCUAUUAAAGUGUCAUCCUUGAUUAGCCUGUGCAGACUGCGCAUACAUUAAGUCCUAUUAAAGUGUCAUCCCAGAUUAGCCUGUGCAGACUGCACAUACAUUAAGUCCUAUUAAAGUGUCAUCUCAGAUUAGCCUGUGCAGACUGUGCAUACAUUAAGUCCUAUUAAAGUGUCAUCCCAGAUUAGCCUGUGCAGACUGCGCAUACAUUAAGCCCUAUUAAAGUGUCAUAUCAGAUUAGCCUGUGCAGACUGCGCAUACAUUAAGUCCUAUUAAAGUGUCAUCCCAGAUUAGCCUGUGCAGACUGCCCAUACUUUAAGUCCUAUUAAAUUGUCAUCCCAGAUUAGCCUGUGCAGACUGCGCAUACAUUAAGUCCUAUUAAAUUGUCAUCCCAGAUUAGCCUGUGCAGACUGCACAUUAAUUAAGUCCUAUUUAUCCGAGAAUGAGGCUCAUAUAGUUCACUUAACGUCAGUCCUUUUUCUGCCUGAUUGAGGAAAAGUUCCUAGCAUAAAAUGUGAAUUCUAUGAUUUUAAAUUUAUCAAACUUGGUAAAUAAAUAGCAAAUAAAAGUUAAUCUGAUAUCAGUUUUAAUCAAAAGUCAGGGCAUAGUUUUGUCUAUUUUUCUGCUGAAAUUUAGCCGUUGAACAACAGUUUCUCCUUGCAAUAAAAAAAUCCACUUUAAUUAUUAAAUUCUAUUAAAUUUAAGUAAAACAAUUAUUUAAUGCCUUCAGCUCAUUAUAAAAUUAUUAUCUUCAUUUAUUUUCAAUAUUUAUUUAAAUUGCCGAAUUUUGUUUUAAGAGCUAGUUCCUAUCAAUCAUAGAUCGGUACCCUGCUGAAAAACAGGAUCUCUGGUCAGCUGGGCCCAGAUGCUCAGCAACACUUCCUGGCCCAGGACCUUGGGGCAAAUGCUCAACAUGUCCUAGCUGCAUGGUGAAGCCAGUCUAAUUCUUGGGCUCCAAACUCUCCUGAUGUGGCGCCAAGUUUACCUCAUCCAUAAGGGACACAGUUCUGGAAUGCGCUAAGGUCCUUUUAUCUGUUCACAGAGGCCUUAUACUCACAAGUUCAGGCCCAGAGAACGGUGUUCCCCAACUACAACACAACGUCUCAAUAGGUCAAGGGUCACCCCGCAAUGUUUAGUGCCUAGCGAUGAAAUCAUCCACUGUUACAUGUAGUUGGUUCAGGGUCUCCCAAAACCACCCAGUGCCUUGCGAUGAAAACCUCCAACGGGACUGUGACCUUGCCUUGUACAUACCUAAUGGUCAGGUUGAUGAUCACUUGGGCUUAGAUAGUCACUGCAGUAAGAACGUGUAAGAUUUUAAAGAAGAUGACUUCACAAUAGGACAUCCGAGACUGCAAUGACGAAAUGAGUGUCCUCACUUCAGCAGUGGAAGCCAAUACACAAUAAGAGAGUUUCCAGCGGCUUACCUUAUCUGCUUCAAUGCAUUGAAUGCAUUCACAGUUUCAACACGCUUUACAACUCUAGAACAUCGUGGGCACAAGGUGGGCUUUAGUUAAAUCUUUUGACAUUACCUUGUUAAUAUGAUAGGUCGAGGCACUGACAAGCGUUUUGUCGGGUUGAAAUCAGUUGGGUUUGUCAUUGAAAAUGCUAGUAUUGCCUUGAAAUUGUUU